Molecule: long non-coding RNA, 1496 nt
Filed under: Nicotiana tabacum (common tobacco)
Lineage: Eukaryota; Viridiplantae; Streptophyta; Magnoliopsida; Solanales; Solanaceae
Description: long non-coding RNA (NTAB_LNC005370)
Source: RNAcentral
ACUAUCUUGACUGUUAUGGGUCUUAAGAGAUCUGAUAGUCUGUGUAGUUCAGUUGGUAUUCAAGGUGUUGCUUGGGCUUUUGGUGGUAUGAUCUUUGCUUUGGUUUACUGUACUGCUGGUAUCUCAGGUUAGUUUUUUCCUUUUCAUUUCUUGUUGUUUCUUAGUCAUUAUCUUGCUUAAAGUUUGUUCCUUUACUCUUAUUAUAGUAUUAGUAUAGCUUUUUGUGGCACCAUAUUUGAGCUUGUGGUUACUUAUUUUCUACAUCAUACUUUUGUCAAGUAAUUUUUUGGAUUCUUGAGCAUAAUAAGAUCUUGUUUUGUUACUGCUUGUCUUUUUGUGAGCCGAGGGUUUAUCGGAAUAGUCUUUCUAUAGUCUUUCUAUACUCAAGUAGGCUUAAGGCCUGCGUACCCGCCACCCUCCAUAGACCCGACCCGACUUUGUAGAAUUACACUGAUUUUUGUUGUUAUUCUUGAGGAUACUAAGAAAAAAAUAUCAGUUUUCCCUGUUUCAGUAGUUUAAGACAUGUUACUAUUAGUUUACUUUCUGUGUCUAAAUUACUGCCUCUUAUUAGUCAUUACCUUGCUAAAGCUUGUUCCUUUAACUUUUAUACUGUAAAAAUGUGAUCUUUUGUGGCUGAUUCUCUUUGUUUUCCUUUCUUUUGCUCACCAUAUUUUAACUUGUGGUUACUUACUUUGUGCUUACAACAUACUUUUGUUAAAUAAUUUAAUGGAUUCUUGAGUAUUUAUAAAAAAAGAUCGUUUUUUCCUGUUUUAGAGGUUAUAAACAUGUUAUUGGUUUACUUUCUGUGUCUAAAUUACAAGAAUGGAGUUUUCCCUUUAUCUUGUUUGCUCAAGCUUGUACCUUUACCUCUUUAUGCUAAAAUAUGACUUUUAGUGUGUGUGUGUGUUUGAAAAGUUACCAGUCUCAAAAAAAAAAAAAAAUACUGUGUUUUUUAUUGUUUGACAUUUUGUGGUUUUUUUUCUUUGCUCACCAUAUUGAGCUUGUGGUUACUUAUUGUUAUCAUAAAUCAUCUAAUUAUAUGGAUUCUUGAAUUUACUCACAAAAAGAUUCAGUCUUUCCCUAUUUUAGAAGCUCAAAACAUGUUAUUGUUUUACUCUCUGUCUAAAUUACAAAAGAUGGAGUCUUUUCCUUCUUUAGUUUGGCUUUUGGACCUAUGGGGUUUAUUUUUUUUCCCCCUCAAAAACUGAACUAUAUUGUGUUUUGAAAUGAAACAGGAGGACACAUCAACCCAGCUGUGACCUUUGGAUUGUUCUUGGCAAGGAAACUGUCCUUAACCAGGGCUAUUUUCUACAUAGUGAUGCAAUGCCUUGGUGCAAUUUGUGGUGCUGGUGUUGUGAAGGGAUUCAUGGUUGGUCCAUACCAGAGACUUGGUGGUGGUGCUAAUGUUGUUAACCAUGGUUACACCAAAGGUGAUGGCCUUGGUGCUGAAAUUAUUGGCACUUUUGUCCUUGUUUACACUGUUUUCUCUGCUACUG